GAUCCUGGCUCAGAUUGAACGCUGGCGGCAGGCUUAACACAUGCAAGUCGAGCGGGGAAGGUUGCUUCGGUAACUAACCUAGCGGCGGACGGGUGAGUAAUGCUUAGGAAUCUGCCUAUUAGUGGGGGACAACGUUCCGAAAGGAACGCUAAUACCGCAUACGCCCUAUGGGGGAAAGCAGGGGAUCUUCGGACCUUGCGCUAAUAGAUGAGCCUAAGUCGGAUUAGCUAGUUGGUGGGGUAAAGGCCUACCAAGGCGACGAUCUGUAGCGGGUCUGAGAGGAUGAUCCGCCACACUGGGACUGAGACACGGCCCAGACUCCUACGGGAGGCAGCAGUGGGGAAUAUUGGACAAUGGGCGGAAGCCUGAUCCAGCCAUGCCGCGUGUGUGAAGAAGGCCUCUUGGUUGUAAAGCACUUUAAGCGAGGAGGAGGCUCCUUUAGUUAAUACCUAAAGAGAGUGGACGUUACUCGCAGAAUAAGCACCGGCUAACUCUGUGCCAGCAGCCGCGGUAAUACAGAGGGUGCGAGCGUUAAUCGGAUUUACUGGGCGUAAAGCGUGCGUAGGCGGCUUUUUAAGUCGGAUGUGAAAUCCCUGAGCUUAACUUAGGAAUUGCAUUCGAUACUGGAAAGCUAGAGUAUGGGAGAGGAUGGUAGAAUUCCAGGUGUAGCGGUGAAAUGCGUAGAGAUCUGGAGGAAUACCGAUGGCGAAGGCAGCCAUCUGGCCUAAUACUGACGCUGAGGUACGAAAGCAUGGGGAGCAAACAGGAUUAGAUACCCUGGUAGUCCAUGCCGUAAACGAUGUCU
RNAcentral lists this ribosomal RNA (805 nucleotides) under uncultured Acinetobacter sp. Its description in RNAcentral is "bacterial SSU rRNA". It matches the Rfam family "Bacterial small subunit ribosomal RNA", at positions 15 to 814 of the family's 1533-position model. Lineage: Bacteria; Pseudomonadati; Pseudomonadota; Gammaproteobacteria; Moraxellales; Moraxellaceae. The record is from RNAcentral.